CCCUGCCUUUUGUACACACCGCCCGUCGCUCCUACCGAUUGAAUGGUCCGGUGAAGAGUUCGGAUUGCGGCGAUGCCGGCGGUUCGCCGCCGGUGACGUUGUGAGAAGUCCUUUAAACCUUAUCAUUU
Molecule: ribosomal RNA, 128 nt
Filed under: uncultured eukaryote
Lineage: Eukaryota
Description: partial small subunit ribosomal RNA
Rfam family: Eukaryotic small subunit ribosomal RNA
Source: RNAcentral